AUUGAACGCUGGCGGCAGGCCUAACACAUGCAAGUCGAGCGGAGCCGCGGACGGGUGAGUAAUGUCUGGGAACCUGCCGGAUGGGGGGGGAUAACUACUGGAAACGGUAGCUAAUACCGCAUACUAUCAGAUGAGCCUAGGUCGGAUUAGCUAGUUGGUGGGGUAAGGGCCUACCAAGGCGCCGAUCCGUAACUGGUCUGAGAGGAUGCUCAGUAAAACUGGAACUGAGACACGGUCCAGACUCCUACGGGAGGCAGCAGUGGGGAAUAUUGGAAAAUGGGCGAAAGCCGGAUGCAGCCAUGCCUCGGGUGUGAAGAAGGUCUUCGGAUUGUAAAGCACUUUAAGUUGGGAGGCGUUACCAACAGAAUAAGCACCGGCUAACUACGUGCCAGCAGCCGCGGUAAUUC
RNAcentral lists this ribosomal RNA (407 nucleotides) under uncultured bacterium. Its description in RNAcentral is "partial 16S ribosomal RNA". It matches the Rfam family "Bacterial small subunit ribosomal RNA", at positions 30 to 526 of the family's 1533-position model. The record is from RNAcentral.